RNAcentral lists this long non-coding RNA (474 nucleotides) under Homo sapiens (human). Its description in RNAcentral is "HSALNT0391632". The record is from RNAcentral. Lineage: Eukaryota; Metazoa; Chordata; Mammalia; Primates; Hominidae.
UUCUGUGCUGUGGAAGGUUUGUUCUUUCACUCUGCACUAUUUUGCAAUAAAUAUUGCUAUUGCUCACUUUGGGUUUAUAUUGCCUUUAUGAGCUGUAACACUCACCAUGAAGGUCUGCAGCUUUACUCUUGAAGCUUAGCGAGACCACUAACCCACCAGAAGGAAGAAACUCCGGACACGCCGCCUUUAAGAACUGUAAUACUCAGUGCGAGGGUUCACGGCUUCAUUCUUGAGGGAGUGCAGAGGAGGAGUCCGUUUGGUGAGUGGAAUUUGUGACGUCCCGCAUUUGAGGUCCCUGGAACUCAGCGGCAAGGUCUGGACACGUGUCGUCGCGGGCACAGAAGGUGCGGCACGAAGACCAGCUCUUAUCCAGAGGCAGAGGAAGAGGACCAUCAAAUUGGAGCAAUUUUGAUGACACAUUCAUUAAAAUUUGUUGAAUUGUACACUUAAAGUGGUGAAUAUUAUGAUGUUUAA